This 2577-nucleotide long non-coding RNA is filed under the name Callithrix jacchus (white-tufted-ear marmoset). RNAcentral's name for it is "lncRNA (ENSCJAG00000084883.1)". Lineage: Eukaryota; Metazoa; Chordata; Mammalia; Primates; Cebidae. The record is from RNAcentral.
AUGGAUUAUCUCCACUUGAACAGAUACAGAGAAGAUACAUUUAAAUUGAGCUGGCACAAUGGCAGAAAGAUGGAAGAGUGCGUGAAUGAGGGAAGGCGCAAGAGACGGAGAGAGAAAGAGAAACAGACACGAGAUCGGAGAGCGUGGAUAAGCUGGUUCUUGGAGAACUGUGUCUCAGAAGAGCUACAGCUCCCUCUUCAUGUCACAGUUAUUUUAACAUGAACAUCAGUAAGGAGGAAAAGAAUCCUUUUGAAAAACUUUGGUGUCUGCAAGGCAGUCCUAAAGAAAGCCAGAAAGCCAAGUGACUUAUACAAAGACGAGAUCUACCUGAACUCACAACCCUAAAAAAAAUGGGUCUACAUGCACCUGCUAUCACUCAAGAAGUACGUAUAUUAUUAACUUGUAUAUACAGAUAUAACUAUUCCAAGGAAAACUGCAAUAAUUUGUUGUUUCAGGUUAAGUAAAUAAAAAUCCAACACUCUUAAAAAGUUAUCCCAAAUAUUUAUAGUGUUUAAGAAAUUUGAGAAAUAGUACUGAUUUUGACAAUUUCUGGCAUAUGCCCAUCCUACUUCUAAUCUUUGACUUGAAGCAAUAGUUUCCCCACCUAUAAGUACAGGUUACAAAUACUAAGUGUAUAAGGGUUCUGGUGCAUAUGUCAACAGAAUGGAGGAAGACCAAGAGAUCAUGGCAUUUGCUGACUGAGCUGUAUUUUAGUUUCUUUUACAAUCAAUUCUUUUAUGUAUCCUUUCACUCACUUCUUUAGUAAAUAUGUAUUCAGUGUCUACUGUCUGGGGAUGCUGUGGUGAACAAAGAGAGACUUGUUUCCUUUCCUUGUGGGAUUUAUUAGCUAGCAAGGAAUAAGUAACUAUAUUAAAUGAUAUGCAAGAUUGCAAAACCUGCAACAAUAAUUGGUAACUUCUAUAGAUGAGUGGACCCUACUUUCUCAUCUCUUGAUUCUGGACUGGAUUUGUGACUUACUUUGACCAAAAGAAUUUGACAGAAGUUAAAUUACAGCUGUCUUCCAGGGGUCUUGCAGCCUCUGCUCGCUCCCUGAAACAUGACUGCUGCUACGGACAUGAUCUCAGGCCAGCCUAUGGAGGAUGAGAGAACAUGAUGAAAGACCCCAGUCAUCUCAGAAAUCUCAUAUGGGGGCAUCAUAACUUAUUCAGCUCCUGCUGACCCCCUAGUAAAUUACAGAUGCAUGAGCCAGUCCAGCUUAGUGGUCAAUCAAAGCCAAUCAUUAACCUGCAAAAUCAUGAACUAAAUACAUGUGUGUGUGUGUGUGUGUGUGUGUGUGUGUGUGUUUUUGGUUUGGUUUGGUUUUAAGUCACUAACUUUUGGGGCUUCUACAAAAGCAGAUUAACACAAAUGACAAAAAGAGUUAUGAUAGGAAUAAACUUAGGGCAAGGAGGACAGAGACAUGUUAAUCCAAUCUAUUGAUGUCAGGGAAGUCUGCCAGAAGGAAAUGACAUUCAACCUGAGAUGGAUGGAGCCAGAGUGGCAGCUAGCUAAUGACCUUGACCUCAGUGAUGUACAAGCUUCAUAGGUAAGAAGGCAUUCCUACCAUAUACAUCAGAAAUAACUGCAGAUAUUCAAGCCCAAAACCUUGAAGUUGCCCUUGACUUUACUUUUGCAUCUCACAUAAAAUCCCCUGUAAAUUCUGUCAUCUUUACCUGAAAUACAUCUAGGAUCCAGCCGAUUUCACCAUCCCCACUACUGCUCUUCAGAUACAGACCCCAUAGUCACCUGAAUUGGCUCCUUAUGUCCUAUGGUCUGUGGAAUAUCACAGACUUCCUGCUUCCCUGGAGUCUUUUUCCACCACAGAAACUAGAAAGAGCCAGCACAAGUUAGAUCUUGCCAUUCCUCUGCUAAAAACCCUGUGUAGUGAGUGGAAUUGUCCCCACCAUCCCAGAAGUUAUAUUCAUAUUCUAAUCCCUAAAAUCUGGGAAUGUGACCUUAUUUGAAAAACCAACCAACCAACCAACCAAAGAUUUUUGAAGAUGUAAUUAAGGAUCUGAAGAUGAGAUCCUCUUGUAUUAUCCAGAUGGGCUCUAAAUCCAGUGACAAGUGUCCUUAUAAGAUACAGAAGGAGAGGAUGCAGUGACACUGAGGAGAAGGCCACCAGAACACAGAGGCACAGACUGGAGUGACAUAGUCCCAAGCCAAAGAAUGUCUGGAGCCAUGGGAAGCCAAAUGAGGUAAGGAGGAAUUCUCCUUUAGAGCCCUUGGAGGGAGCACAGAUCUACUAACACCUUGAGUUUAGACUUCCAUCCUCUAGAAGAACUAAGGGAAAAUACAUGUCUGUGGUUUUAAGUAACGUAGUUUGUAGCAAUCUGUUAUGGCAGCCCCAGGAAAGUAAUACAUCUUCCAAAGGUUUCUUAUGUCAUUCAGAGUAAAACAUAACCGUUGAAGUUCUAACAUUGGCUCACAAGGCCAUGCCUGGACUGCCUGCCCCUACACCUGACCUCUCUGACAUCAUAUGAAGCGCUCUCUCUGUUCUUGGCAUGUGAGCCUCUCUGAUCUUCUUACUGUUCCUACAACACAUAAGGUAUGCUGCCUUCUCAGGGCCUUUGUGUU